AAAAAAAAAACUGUAUUGAUCUUGUUUAGGGUUCUGAGCAAAGAAGAACAAAAAGGAGGUGUUUUCGUUAGGUCGUCUCCUCUCCGCUCUUCUUUCUCCGAAGCUCUCUUCGUCUCGUAUUUGGCCAAGAAAAAAAUGAAGCUCUGUUCGAAUCGCCUCCCCUCCAUGACCCCUGUCGAUUUUAUGUUCCUCCAUGACCUCCCCGUGUACGCCCUCAACAACCCUGGGAGGAGUUCUUGCUGGUUGCCGGAGCCUCCACCAGCAAGAACCUCGACCUCUUCUGCUUCAACGAAGACGACGCCCAAGCCCUGCUGCGCUAGGUUUUCACGGUCGACCCUCGCCUGCGUGACGGCUCCAAAGUUGUUCCCGUUGCGCUCAACAAGGUUCCCUAAGUUGCUUCUCUCUUCUCUUUCUCUCUCUCUCUCUUAGUAAUUUGAUUCACCUUAUCGUGUUUUACUGAUCCACUUUAUUGAAUUGCUUGGUAAUGACUUUUAUUGCUUUUUUGAAUUCACGUGACAUUUGGCAAUGUCCAAGUAUGGUUAUGAUUAUAUGGACGCUUAUGUAUUUGUAUUCAUGGAUAUCAGAGAUGAUUGAAUCUAUUCUUGAUUAUUGUUUCUGGUCAUAAUAUUUGAGCUAUAUCUAGAAUGGCUAUAUAUGUGUAUGUGGAUGAGCUUCAUCAUAAAUGAAUUUGGGUAAUGUUUCCUCUAUUGCCUUUGCUACAAGAAAUGCUACUAUCCCAUUGGUCAUAUUUUACUCAAGCUCUAUGUUUCAGUUGAUGUUAUAAUUUGUUGUGUACCAUAGGCUAGUUAUUUUAUUUGGUUGAUCAAAUUUAGGCUUGAUGUUUGUGUUGAGUUUUAUGAUUCUGAAGCUCAUACUUCACAUUCAGUUGGUUUAUUGUGUAGUAAAUAGAACCUUUUUCUAUUUAUGGAUUAGUGUAGUCUGUAUGUUAUUUCUACUUAUCCGCCUAUAAUCACAGACAUAAAUGCAAGAAAACCUUUAGUUUUAUGUACAAUGUGGCAUUUAUUUGCAUGUGGUUGUUAAGGACUUUAUCCCCUACAUCUAAUCAGGAUAGAGAAGUAUGUUGUUGAUAGAUUUUUAGUUCUAUUUGAGGUUCUAAGAUCUGUUAAACUUUGAUUGUAUCUUCUAAUACUAUUCAUAAGUUACAGAAAAAAGAUUUAAUGGUUAUAGGCUACUCCCAAUAGGGUUGUAACUCUACCAGGUUGAGUAUAUUUUUAAUGAUAAACACAUGUUCACUUUUAACUCACUGAGUCAGUACGGUGGUUUCAUUUUUAGACAAGUUUCGCGGUCUCCUUAUAGCAAGCAUUCUCAGCGUAGGCAUUCUCCCUACUUUCUCUUGAUAAUUCCACGUUUGUUGCCAUAUUAGUUUUUAUAUGAAAACACUAAAAUUUUCAAUGUCCUUUGUAUUAGACAACCAUAGAAGCAAAUUAAAUGGAAAUUUUUAAUAAUUAAGAAGAAGCUAAGAAAUCACAAGUUUUCAUUUUGGCCAAAAUAUGUGCAGGAGUGUGUGGAUAGCUUCUUGAAAAGCAUAUGUAUGUAGAAUUGGGCGACUGACUAGAGGUCAAAGAAUGAUUCAUUCUCAAAAUUUGGAUUAGUAGAGCAAAUAAAUACCACUGCUGAUAAGUGACUAUUAGUGGUACUCAUUAAGGUAUAUAGGCCUCUCAAUGGUUGAAAAAGCUUUCUUCUAUCUGAUUUGAAAUCUAUGCAUGAUCCAUUAUGAUCUUUUUUUUUUUCAUUUGAAGCAUUAAUUUUGAAGAUGAUUUUAGUGCUCAAACUGUUCUUCACAUCGAAUCCUUUGGACAUGCCCUUCAUGCUUUCAUAAAUGGAAAGCUUGCAGGUAAAUUGCAUCAGUGACUGAUUUUACGGCUUGAACCUGAUCACGUGAAGACAAUUCAAUCGUUUCUUCAAGGCUUUCCUUCUUUCAAAUAAUAUUAGUGAAAGUAUAUUUUCAGGAAAUGGAAAAGGAAACAGUGGCAAUGCUAAAAGUCAAUGUGGAUAUCCCCAUCACACUUGUAGCUGGGAAGAAUACAGUUUGAUCUCUUGAGUUUAACUGUGGGUCUUCAAAACUAUAGAUUUUUCUUUGACACAUGGGGUGCUGGGAUCCCUGGGCCAGUGACAUUGAAAGGAUUGAAGAAUGGAACUACUAUUGACCUCUCCUCCCAACAAUGGUCAUAUCAAAUUGGUCUUCAAGGUGAAGACUUGGUCUAUCUAGUCGAAGUGUUGGACAGUGGAACCCACAAUCAAACUUACCCUCAGAAUCAGGAAGAAGAUGAGGGCCAGUUUUGUCACUAGAGUGUCCUAAUACUAAGCAGAUCAUCUCUUCUAUUAAAUUUGCCAAUUUUGGCACGCCGAGUGGGACUUGUGGGAACUUCAACCAUGGUAGCUGCAGCAGCAACAAGGCUCUAUCCAUUGUUAAGAAGGCCUGCAUUGGAUCAAGCAUCUGUAAAAUUAAAGUAUCAAUUGAUACAUUUGGAGAUCCAUGGAGAAGAGUAACUAAAAGUCUUGCUGUUGAAGCUUCUUGUACAUAGACAUUGUUGCUUCAUGAAGUACUUACCCUUCUUCAUAGCUUGGACAUGAAGGAUCUAAGAUUCUCUUAGUUGAAAGUUCAUGAUUACUACUGGAUGAUUAGCGAAAUGUAAAAAUGGUGAAUGAAAUAUUCUAAUAGUAUAUUGAAUGUAAUUCCAUUAGUUCAUACCU
This is a non-coding RNA of Arachis ipaensis, 2715 nucleotides long. The record is from RefSeq and is a predicted model, not a curated record. Lineage: Eukaryota; Viridiplantae; Streptophyta; Magnoliopsida; Fabales; Fabaceae.